RNAcentral lists this unclassified non-coding RNA (505 nucleotides) under Bactrocera tryoni. RNAcentral's name for it is "uncharacterized LOC120773402, transcript variant X2". Lineage: Eukaryota; Metazoa; Arthropoda; Insecta; Diptera; Tephritidae. The record is from RNAcentral.
UCAUUAUGAUUUAUUGAUAUAGUGCAACUAUAAGUUUUUAUUAAUGUGGACUUUCUACGUAAACACCUAAAGAGGAGGCAUUUUAACGCUCGACUAAAAAUUCACAGUUACAAGUUGAUUUAAUAAACAUGCAUAGAAAUGUUCACUUGACUGUUGGCAAACAAAAACAAACGAUGACUAAGUGACUAAUUGAUUAAUUGAAGCAGAAUGAAAGAAUGGAAAUGGUGGAUGACUGAUUACCGCUUCGUUGAGCUGAUGUUAAGUUCGUGUGACUUGAAAUGGUUGGCCGCACUGAACGCCGAUGGGUGUGCUAAUGUUUGAUAAGCACAUGAAUACAAAUAUGUUUUUGUUAAUAUUAAGUGUACAGAUAUUUUUGGUAGUGAGGUUUUUAACUACUUCAAAUAUAUUAAUUUUGGAUUUUAUGUACUUUUGUGGUACCAAAAAAGUUAUUGACUAGUUUUAGGUUGAUUUGUAAAUGUGAAAUAUAUUUCUUUCUGACUAGAAA